UCCAGUAAAUGAAAAUUAAUUUAGUAAUAGUAUAAAAAAGAUAUAUUAAAUUAAUAAAAUGAGAUAUUUAGUACCAUCAGACUUACUCUUAUAUGUGUUUCAUCUCUCGACCUUCUCUAUUUCUACGUUUAAUUUUCAGACUUUUUUCUACCUUUGUUAUUGUACAUGUACACUUUGACGAUAAAUAUAUACUACAAUCACUACAAAAAAAUUGACUUAUAGUAACAGCAAAAUGUCAUAGAUAAAGGGCACAAACCCGUUGCUAUAUCACAAAAAACCUAUUCCAACAUAAGUGUGUAGCCGUCACCUUUAAUUUUCUAUACCAACGGAUGUUUACUGUCACAAUUGCUUAUAUAGUGAUGGUUUUUCUAGCUGUUGGAAAAGACAUUGGUGGUAUACCCACGGCUUAUUCUUUUGGUCUAUAUAGUGAAGGUUCUCAGCCAUGGCAGAUCGGUGAGUGAGCGACGGUGCCGAUUGGUGAGAGAAAGAGAUCAAAAUUGUGUGUUUCUAAGAAGAGUGGAGCAAAAACAGGUUUGACUUA
This 541-nucleotide long non-coding RNA is filed under the name Trifolium pratense (red clover). RNAcentral's name for it is "long non-coding RNA (TPRA_LNC002333)". Lineage: Eukaryota; Viridiplantae; Streptophyta; Magnoliopsida; Fabales; Fabaceae. The record is from RNAcentral.